This 2740-nucleotide long non-coding RNA is filed under the name Ornithorhynchus anatinus (platypus). RNAcentral's name for it is "lncRNA (ENSOANG00000041218.1)". Lineage: Eukaryota; Metazoa; Chordata; Mammalia; Monotremata; Ornithorhynchidae. The record is from RNAcentral.
AUGGGCCUCAGCCUGGGUCUGCAGCCUCCAGCCUCUCCAGUCUCUCUACUCUCAACCAACCUUCCCCUUUCCCACCCCCUGUUCCGCUCACCUCGGCAGGCCCAGGGCCCCGUGGGCACUCCGGCUUCCUGUCCUGGCCCUCCGGCAGGCCCAGCUCCAGCACUAAUGGUCCUGGGAGAUGAAGACCAGGAAAAGUUCAAGGAAGGACUCAGUCAUUGCCUCUUGGUACUCCCUGCCUUUACAUGCCGAGGCCACAGGACCCCACGAACUGGGAAGAGAGGGGAAGAAAGAGGACCACAUUUUGCUGGAGCUGGACCCACCGGGAGCCCAGGAGCAGGAGGCCAGAGAGCCCACGGGGCCCUCAGCCUGUGGAGUCUGGCUGGCCAGGAUGUGGAAUCCCAGGACAGAAGAGUAAAGGAAAGAGGUCCAGAGCCUGGAGGGAGCGGCGAGUGGGACAAGGCAGACAGGUGGGCAUCUCAGUCUCUUCCUCUUUCUUCCCAGACGGAGAAUUUGGAGGAAAGUGUCCCCAUCUUCUUAUCCCAGCCAUUGGCGUAUGCCACCAGGCCUCAGGCAAAGGGGCGAUCAGCGACCACGUUGUUGCCGGGUGAAUGGGGAGCUGCCCUGCCCACCGCCCAACAUAUUCCAAUGUUUUCCAUGCUAGAUCAGGACUCUGGCCUGAGGCAGUUCUGGGUAGGAGAGGGAACAGAUGAAAGGGGGAAAUAAGAGCUUCUUCAUUUGUUCCUCAUUUUCCCCCCAACAGGAUACACCACCUCACCCAUCCUGGGAAGGGCAUGGCUCUCAGGAGACCACUUGGUCCACCUACCCUAGAGUGAGAACCCAACCCACAAUGCCCCUCUCACCUCCCUCUGUUCUGUCCCCUACCUUUGUCCCCACUCAUCUCCCUUUCUCUCUUUUCCCUCUCCUUCUAAACCCCCUUCCUCUCCUCCUAUUUCACUUUCUCCUUGUUCUUUUUUUUCAAGUAGUUCCUUUCUGUCUGGCUUUACCUCUCCUAAUCCCUGGACUCUCUGGCUGGAAGGGGAGGGAACCGACUCCUUGAAAAUCCCCAUGAUGCAGUCAAAGAGACUGGGUACUGAGUGGGAAGGGCCACCCAGCUCCUCCCAGGCUUUCCCCUCCAUCAUUUCAGAAGAUUUAAAAACUACCCUUCGAUCUGAAUCUGCAAGUUUGUCAGCUCUUCACAGGUGAGGGAGGGUCAUUGUUGAGGAGUACCAGCCUGAGGGAGAUGAGGAUGAAGGCAGACAACAGACACGUAGUAUAGCUGGGGUUAGAACCCAGGUCCUUCUGACUUCCAGGCCCAUGCCCUAUUCCCUAGGCCACAGUUUUUCUCUUCCCUGAUCAAGCAAUAAGAAAUCCCCCUUAGUCCAGGGAGAUCUAGCUCCAUUUAUGGCUGAAUAGGUAUACGUGUAAUUUUGUGCUUGGUAAACUCUGAAAACAGAUUUUUGUCCAGGCCUGAUAAAUUACAUAUCUUUGAAAAUCAGUGGGAAAUUGCCUUCAAACAUAAUACCUUGAGCCUCUGAGUUUAGGUGUGCAUGCAUAUCCCUACAAACUCAUAUAUACGUUUGUGUGUGUGUGUGUGUGUGUAUGCAUGUCUUCUUCACUACAGAUAUGUUUGUAUGUGUGUAUGCUUGCUUUUCAUUCAGUAAGCCAGAGUGUGGGGCAAAGGCCCCAGACAGCAACCACAGGGCUCAACCACUCCCUGGGCAGCCUCACUGACAGUACCCCAUACUCCCAGAAUCUACUGGGGCAUCCCAACCAGGGAGGGCAGGAAAAGGGGCAGAGAGGCUUUUCCAUCCCCCACGAUAGUGUCCUCAGCACAGUAAGCUGAGGGGCACCAUAGCAGCCUCACCCACACGGCAGAGGACCGGCGGGUUAAGACGACUGAGGCAGUGAGGCCUGGGGCAGAGGUCAGCUGCCCACUGACACCCAGAAGGUGUAGGGAAGACCCCCAGGACACAGGGAUGAAGUCUGCAGGUCCCCGAUACCCCUGAGCUGUUUGGAAAAUGGGGGAGGGAAGUGGCCGGGCAGUGCUAUCCCCUUCCCGGCUAUCACGGCCAACAGGGUUCAGAGAUGUGGCCCAGCCCUACGAGGGGCAAUUCUGAACCAUCAGUGAUGUCACAACGGGACUAGGAGGGGUGUGCCUGGCUCUGAACGGGAGAGCUUUUGUGAGGGGUUGGAGACCGAGAGAGCGGAGGUGGUAGUGGUGGUGGUGGUGGUGGAGAGAUAUCAGUGGCGGUUUGGUAGUGGCUUGCUUUGUUGGAGAGCAAGAGUAGAUUGGAGUUGUGAGAGAGGAGAGAGGAGGAUUUUGGGUUUUGGUGCUGGGAGUGUGGUUUUGACUGGUUGAAGGAGAGGGUGUUGUAGAGGAGGUUACUGUAAGGAGAGGGUGUGAACUAGUUAGCGGGAUGCCUCGUCCCAGAGGGUGAGUCAGUCUUUCUGUCCGAAGGGGCCUGGCGCCGUCGGCUGGGAGGGCCCGGAGGGAGGAAAUCCAGAGGGAGGCGUCUGGGGUCUAGAUUGGGCCCAGAAGGAAAAUGUACAGAAAAGCAAAGAGGGGGCAAGGGGAAGAAAGGCAGCAUUGGCAGUGGGGUGGGAAGGGCAGAGGUCCUUCCCUGCUCCUUUGCAGGUGGGGAGAAGGGAGGGAUGGGGGACAGGAGCAGAGGGCUCAGGGACGCGCAGUCAUCCCGCCCCAGGAGCCUCGCUCUUCUUCUAUCCCCAUCCCUAACUAGUC